This 39-nucleotide non-coding RNA is filed under the name Trypanosoma vivax. Lineage: Eukaryota; Euglenozoa; Kinetoplastea; Trypanosomatida; Trypanosomatidae. The record is from RNAcentral.
UCAAUUGCAAAAUCAUAUUAUAAGAAAUAGAUGAUUGUA